AUUGGAGUUCCUGCUGUGACACAACAGGAUGGGCAGUGUCUCUGCAGUGCCAGGACACAUGUUCAAUCCCUAGCCCAGCACAGUGGAUUAAAGGAUGUGGCAUUGCUAUAUCAGUGGCACAGGUCUCAACUGCAGCAUCUUGGAUGUAACCCAGACCUGAGAACUCCAUAUGCCUCUGUGCGGCCAAAACAAAAACCAGAAACAAUAUUGUGUUAAUUUGUGCAGUACAGCAAAGUGAUUCAGUUAUACAUAAAUAUGUAUAUAUUCAUUUUAUAUUCUUUCCCAUUGUGGAUUAACACAAAUUACUGAAUGUAGUUCCUUGUGCUGUACAGUAGGACCUUGUUUAUCUAUUCUAUAUCUAAUAGUUGCAGCUGCUAACUUGAGGCUCCCAGUCCAUCCCUCCCCUAACCCACUGAUUGCUUUGUCUUUUAACCUUGCUUUAUAAGUGCUUCUCAGAUCCACCUCUUAGAGUAUUGACAAUAAAAACAAAAAUAAACAAAUGGGACCUAAUCAAACUGAAAAGUUUCUGCACAGCAAAGGAAACCCUAAACAAAACAAAAAGACAACACACAGAAUGGGAGAAAAUCUUUGCAAAUGAACCCACUGACAAGGGAUUAAUCUCCAAAAUUUAUAAACGCCUCCUACAGCUCAAUACCAAAAAACAACCCCAUCAAAAAAUGGGCAGAAGAUCCAAACAGACAGUUCUCCAAAGAAGACAGACAGAUGGCCAAAAAAACCCAUGAAAACAUGUUCAACCUCACUCAGCAUUAGAGAAAUGCAAAUCAAAACCACGAUGAGGGACCACCUUACACCAGCCAGAAUGGCCAUCAUCAAAAAGUCUACAAACAGUAAGUGCUGGAGAGGGUGUAGAGCAAAAGGAACCCUCUUACCUUGCUGGUGGGAUUGUCAAUUGGUGCAACCACUGUGGAAAGCAGUAUGGUGAUUCCUCAGAAAACCAAACAUAGAACUACCAUUUGAUCCAGCAAUCCCACUCCUGGGCAUCUAUCCAGAGAAAACCAGGACUCGCAAAGACGCAUGUACUCCGAUGUUCAUUGCAGCACUAUCUGUAAUAGCCAAGACAUGGAAACAACCUAAAUGUCCAUUGACAGAGGAGUGGAUCAAGAAGAUGUGGUACCACAAAAAUACAAAAAAAAAAAAAAAAAAGGGAUGUGGUACCUAUACACAAUGGAAUAUUACUCAGCCAUUAAAAGGAAUGAAAUACCGGCAUUUUUAGCAACAUGGAUGGACCUAGAAAUUAUCAUGCUAAGUGAAGUCAGCCAUACAAUGAAACACCAACAUCAAAUGCUUUCACUGACAUGUGGAAUCUGAAAAAAGGACAGACUGAACUUCUUUGUAGAACAAAUGCUGACUCACAGACAUUGAAAAACUUAUGGUCUCCAGAGGAGACAGUUUGGGGGGUGGGGGGAUGUCCUUGGGUUAUGGGAUGGAAAUCCUGUGAAUGAUCAUUAUACAACUACAGAUGUGAUAAAUUCAUUUGCGUAAUAAAAAUAAAUAAAUAAAUAAAAAUUUUAAAAAUAAAACUCUUUCACUCUCCUUCAAAUCUGAGUGAUAGCCUUGCUGGAUAGAGUGUUCUUGGUUUUGGUUUUUUCCUCUCAUCAUUUUAAAUAUAUCAUGCUGCUUCCUUCUGGUCCACCUAAUUUCUGCUGAAAAGUUAGCUGACAUUCCUCUGGGAGUCUCAUAUAUGUUACUAGUUGCUUUUCCUUUGCUGCUUUUUACUACUGAAUUGAAAAAGUGUUUUGUAUAUUCCGGAUAAAAGUCCCUAACAUAUAUGUUAUAUGGAAAUAUUCUUACCAUUCUGUGUGUUAUCUUUUCAGUUUCUUCAUGGUAUUUUCUGAUGCAUAAAAGUUUUCCAUUUUAAUGUUCAAUUCAUCUGUUUUUUUCUAUUGGUGUUUGUACUGUGAUGGCAAACCAUUAUCAAAUCCAAGCCUACUAAGAGUUACUUAUGCAUUUUCUCCUAAGAAUUUUACACUUACAGUUCUUCCAUUAAUAUCUUUAACUCUUUUUUAAUUUUUGUGUUUGCUAUGAAGUAAGAUUGAAAUGCAUUCUUUGGGAGUUCUCUGAUGGCCUAGCUGGUUCUGGUUCCUGUGUUUUCACCACUGUGGCUCUGGUCACUGCUGUGGCGCAGCUUCAGUCCCUGGCCUGGGAACUUCCACAUGCUGCUGGUGUGGCAAAAAGGAAAAAAGAAAAAAAGAGAGAGAGGGAACCUGAAAUAAACGUUGCAACUCAUUGUUUAAAAGAAAUGCAUUCUUUGCAUGUGACUAUCCUGUUGUGUCAAUACAGUUUGUUGAAAAAGCCAUUCUUUCCCCCACCCCUUGGAUUGUCUUGUCAAAAAUCAAUUGAGUAUAAAUGUGAGGAUUUAUUUCUCGAAUCUCACUUCUGUUUCAUUGAUCUUUUUGUCAGUCCUUAUGCAUGUACCACGUUGUCUUAAUUACUUUUGCUCUCUGGUAAAUUUUAAACUUGGGAAUUGUGAGUCCUCCAGCAGUAUUCUUCUUUUAUCAAAAUUAUGGGUUUCUUGAGUUUUGAAGGGAAACUGGAUCAACUUACCAGUUUAUGCAAAGAAGCCAGCUGUAAUUUUGAUGGAGUUUGCUUUGAAUCUGAAGAUCAUUUUGCAGAGUGUAUUAGUUUUCCAGGGCUGCCAGUCACAGAUAGGGUGACUGAAACAACAGAAACGUAUUUGGGGGCAGUUUUGGAGAAUAGAAAUUCAAGAUCAAGGUGUCGCCAUGUUUUAUUUUUACUGGGGGUCUUUUCUCAUGCAUGGUUGUGUUCUAAUUUCCUCUUCUUUUAAGAUAAGGACGCCAGUCAUAUUGGACUAGGGCCUUACACAUAUGACCUCAUUUACCUUAUUUACUUCUUUAGGAGCCCUAUUUUCAAAUACAGUCACAUUUUGUGGUAUUAGAAAUUAGAACUUCAACAUAAAUUUUGGGGAGCCACAAUUCAGCCAGUAAUGGAGAGUACUGCCAUCUUAAUGUAAACUAAGUUAACUAAGACUUAAUAUUAAGUCUUCUGAUCCAUGAAAUAGGUUCUAUCCAUUUUUUAGUUCUUUCUUACUUUGAUUCAAUAGUGUUUUAUAGUUUUAGGGUCUGCUUUUGAGAAAACCCAAACAUAAAUACUUUCAGAUUAAAAAAAUAAACCUCCUGUGUUUUCUUCAAAUACUUUUUUCCUUUGUAUUUUAAUCUUAUUAAUUCCAACAAAUUUAGAAUUGUUAUAUCUUCUUGGUGAAUUGAACUUUUAGAUAAUCCUCUCCUUUACCUAUUAAUAGUACAUUUUUGCCUUGAAUUCAUUUGGACUGAUAUUAAUGCAGCAAGAUGUGUUACUCUCCUGGCCUUAAUAUGCAGUAAUUUGCACAAGCAGGAAGCUUACUAGAACCCCAGUGUUUAGAGUUUUAUUUGGCUUCAUUACAUAGGCAUGAUUGAUUGAUUGUACACAUGAUUGAUCUCAGUCUUCAGUCUCCAGAGGGACCAGUACCCAAAACCUCCACUCUGAAUCACACUAUUGGUUUUCUGGUGUGGACAGCCCCAACCCUAAAUCAUCCAGUGGAAGCCAAGGCCCCCUGAGCAAAGAUACUGCUAUCAGUCAUUACAUUCCAAAAGCCUAGAGAUUACCUCCUAGUAGCCAGGAUAAAGAUCAGGCCUCUCUUUUGGUAGUGUUAAUUCUUCAUUACAAGAUUAGAAAAUUUUUUAAGAUGUUCUUUUCACAUCUGUACAGAGGGAGACUUUUAAUCUGGGGCCAGAAGUUGUCUACACAUACUUAGCCUCAUCUUCUGGGACCACAUGCUUCCUGAGUACAGAAUAACUUUAUACUGUGGUUGUGUUUUCUCUUGAGUUCUUUUUUUUUUUUUUUUUNUUU
Molecule: long non-coding RNA, 3867 nt
Filed under: Sus scrofa (pig)
Lineage: Eukaryota; Metazoa; Chordata; Mammalia; Artiodactyla; Suidae
Description: lncRNA (ENSSSCG00015020557.1)
Source: RNAcentral